AGAGUUUGAUCAUGGCUCAGAAUGAACGCUGGCGGCAGGCCUAACACAUGCAAGUCGAACGGGUACCUUCGGGUGCUAGUGGCGGACGGGUGAGUAACGCGUGGGAACAUACCCUUUGGUACGGAAUAGCCUCGGGAAACUGAGAGUAAUACCGUAUGUGCUCGCAAGAGGAAAGAUUUAUCGCCAAAGGAUUGGCCCGCGUUGGAUUAGGUAGUUGGUGGGGUAAUGGCCUACCAAGCCGACGAUCCAUAGCUGGUUUGAGAGGAUGAUCAGCCACACUGGGACUGAGACACGGCCCAGACUCCUACGGGAGGCAGCAGUGGGGAAUCUUAGACAAUGGGGGAAACCCUGAUCUAGCCAUGCCGCGUGAUCGAUGAAGGCCUUAGGGUUGUAAAGAUCUUUCAGAUGGGAAGAUAAUGACGGUACCAUCAGAAGAGCC
This 439-nucleotide ribosomal RNA is filed under the name uncultured Pseudorhodobacter sp. Its description in RNAcentral is "bacterial SSU rRNA". It matches the Rfam family "Bacterial small subunit ribosomal RNA", at positions 8 to 491 of the family's 1533-position model. The record is from RNAcentral. Lineage: Bacteria; Pseudomonadati; Pseudomonadota; Alphaproteobacteria; Rhodobacterales; Paracoccaceae.